UUCCGCCAGGAGCACCGCUGAUUAGCUACGUUCGGAACGGAUAACCGCUGAAAGCAUCUAAGCGGGAAGCCGGCUUCAAGAUGAGAUUUCCAUCCCUUUUAGGGUGAAGGCUCCCGGCUAGACUACCGGGUUGAUAGGCAGGAUGUGGAAGCGAGGACUAAAGACUCGUGGAGCUGACCUGUACUAAUAAGCCGAUAUCUUGAAAAC
This 207-nucleotide ribosomal RNA is filed under the name Clavibacter michiganensis subsp. michiganensis. RNAcentral's name for it is "partial 23S ribosomal RNA". It matches the Rfam family "Bacterial large subunit ribosomal RNA", at positions 2724 to 2925 of the family's 2925-position model. Lineage: Bacteria; Bacillati; Actinomycetota; Actinomycetes; Micrococcales; Microbacteriaceae. The record is from RNAcentral.